Molecule: ribosomal RNA, 497 nt
Filed under: uncultured bacterium
Lineage: Bacteria
Description: partial 16S ribosomal RNA
Rfam family: Bacterial small subunit ribosomal RNA
Source: RNAcentral
GAUGAACGCUGGCGGCGUGCCUAAUACAUGCAAGUCGAGCGAACGGACGAGAAGCUUGCUUCUCUGAUGUUAGCGGCGGACGGGUGAGUAACACGUGGAUAACCUACCUAUAAGACUGGGAUAACUUCGGGAAACCGGAGCUAAUACCGGAUAAUAUUUUGAACCGCAUGGUUCAAAAGUGAAAGACGGUCUUGCUGUCACUUAUAGAUGGAUCCGCGCUGCAUUAGCUAGUUGGUAAGGUAACGGCUUGCCAAGGCAACGAUGCAUAGCCGACCUGAGAGGGUGAUCGGCCACACUGGAACUGAGACACGGUCCAGACUCCUACGGGAGGCAGCAGUAGGGAAUCUUCCGCAAUGGGCGAAAGCCUGACGGAGCAACGCCGCGUGAGUGAUGAAGGUCUUCGGAUCGUAAAACUCUGUUAUUAGGGAAGAACAUAUGUGUAAGUAACUAUGCACAUCUUGACGGUACCUAAUCAGAAAGCCACGGCUAACUACGUG